Molecule: RNA transcript, 3794 nt
Organism: Phoenix dactylifera (date palm)
Lineage: Eukaryota; Viridiplantae; Streptophyta; Magnoliopsida; Arecales; Arecaceae
Gene: FLD
Gene name: protein FLOWERING locus D-like protein
Source: RefSeq, a predicted model, not a curated record
GAUCAAGAUGGUCGACCUGCAUUGCUCAAAUCUAAUUUGGUCCCAAACGAGACACGUGGAUUUGUAGGUUGGGUAGAGUUGACAGGUAAAUCCAUGAAUUUUUCCUUUGGAUCCCAACAUAAAUUUUAUUUGUUAAAAUAUAGAUUCGAUUUUGUGAACAGAUAAAAUCGUAAAACCCCAACGGCACUGGCAAAGUAGUAACCUUCCCGUCUUUGCUGUUUCUGGGAACCGGAUUCCGGCGGCUGCGUGAAUCCUAUCCGGCGACGGCAACGGAAUAAUGCCGGGGAAGCGGCCCGAGCUCAGCCACUUCACUGGCCGACUCCUUUCUUCCGCCCCAACCACCGCUGAUUCUUGGGAUCCUCCCCGACGAAAGCCCUCCUCAUAACAGUAGCGAUCAAGAAGAAAGAAGAAGAAAAGAACGACAGACGGUAGCAGAGAAAAAAAUGUGCGACCAAACUCCUCCAGAUCCUCUCCCUCCUCUCCCCACCUCCCUCUCCCAAAUCCCUUCUUUCUUCCCUCAACCAAACCCUAACCCUAAUCCGGACCCUAACCCUGAUUCUAACUUCCACAUCCAAAUCUCCUUCCAAGGCAAGCGCAAGCGCACCGGCGUCCGCCGCAAGGCCUCCCAGCUUCCCUCCCUUCACCCCACUCCCCCUCCCCCUUCUCUUCCCCCUCCGCUGCUUCCCGGCGACCCCAAUCCCAUCAAGAACCUGCCUGAAAACCCCAACCCCGCCGCCGAUAUCUCCGAGGAGAUCAUCGUCAUCAACAAGGAGGCCACCACCGAGGCCCUGACCGCCCUCACCGCCGGCUUCCCCGCCGACUCCCUCACCGAGGAGGAGAUCGAGGCCGGCGUCGUUUCCUCCAUCGGCGGCAUCGAGCAGGUUAACUACAUCCUCAUCCGCAACCACAUCCUCUCCAAAUGGCGCGAGAACGUCUCCAAUUGGCUCACCAAGGAGAUCUGUUCCUUUUCGAUCCCGCCCCACUGCGAGACCCUCUUGAAUUCGGCAUACAAUUUCCUUGUUUCGCAUGGGUACGUGAACUUCGGGAUCGCUCCAGCGAUCAAAGAGAAGAUUCCGGCAGAGCCGACCAGGCCAAAUGUGAUUAUCAUCGGAGCUGGGCUGGCGGGGUUGGCUGCCGCGAGGCAACUGAUGAUAUUUGGAUUUAAAGUCGUCGUCUUGGAGGGGAGGAAGAGGUGUGGGGGGAGAGUGUAUACAAAGAGAUUGGAGGGGUCUAACAAGUUUGCUGCUGCUGAGUUGGGUGGGAGUGUUUUAACAGGGACCCUCGGAAACCCGCUCGGGAUCAUUGCCAAACAGCUUGGUUCAACACUCCAUAAGAUCAGAGAUAAGUGUCCCUUGUAUAGGCCCGAUGGCGAGCCAGUGAAACAGGAGAUAGAUAUCAAGGUGGAGAAUGCCUUCAACCGGCUGUUGGACAAGGCGAGCCGGCUGAGGCAGUGUAUGGGAGAGGUUGCUAUGGAUGUGUCACUAGGGGCUGCUCUGGAGACCUUCCGGCAAGUGUACGGAGAUGCCGUGACUGAAGAAGAGAUGCAAUUGUUCAAUUGGCACUUGGCGAAUCUGGAGUAUGCAAAUGCCGGGCUUCUCUCCAAGCUUUCGCUAGCAUUUUGGGACCAGGACGAUCCAUAUGAUAUGGGUGGUGACCACUGCUUCUUGCCUGGAGGGAAUGGACGGUUGAUUCAGGCUCUUGCUGAGAAUGUUCCGAUCAUUUAUGAGAAGACAGUGCAUACGAUCCGUUAUGGUGGGGAUGGAGUGCAGGUUGUUGCGGGGGGGCAGGUUUAUGAGGGGGAUAUGGCAUUGUGCACAGUACCACUAGGAGUUUUGAAGAAUGGGUCCAUAAAAUUUGUACCGGAGCUGCCUCAGAGGAAGCUUGAUGGCAUAAAGAGGUUGGGAUUUGGCUUGUUGAAUAAGGUUGCCAUGCUAUUCCCUUAUGUUUUCUGGAGCACAGACCUCGAUACAUUUGGGCAUUUGUCAGAUGUUUCAAGUCGUCGAGGGGAGUUCUUUUUAUUCUAUAGUUAUGCUACGGUAGCUGGUGGUCCACUCUUAAUUGCAUUGGUUGCAGGGGAAGCAGCACACAACUUUGAAAGUAUGCCUCCAACAGAUGCUGUGACAGUGGUUCUUCAGAUUCUAAGGGGUAUCUAUGAACCACAAGGAAUUGAAGUUCCAGACCCUCUCCAAAGUGUUUGCACUAGAUGGGGUACUGACUCCUUCAGUUUAGGUUCCUAUUCUCAUGUUUCUGUGGGAGCAUCUGGAGAUGACUAUGAUAUUUUAGCAGAAAGUGUUGGAGAUGGGCGGCUCUUUUUUGCUGGUGAGGCCACCACGAGGCGUUACCCUGCAACCAUGCAUGGUGCUUUCAUUAGUGGCCUGCGAGAAGCUGCUAAUAUGGCUCACCAUGCUAAUGCUCGAGCAUUGCAAAUAAAAGCGGAAAGGAGCCCAUCAAAGAACACUCAGGCAUGUGCUGCACUCCUAGCAGAUUUGUUUAGGGAACCUGAUAUAGAAUUUGGAAGCUUUUCUGUUAUUUUUGGCCGCAAAUCAUCUGAUCCCAAAUCUACAGCAAUCUUAAGAGUUGCAUUAGGUGGUCCAAGAAAGAAGAGUAGUAAUGAGGGAACAAAAGCAGACCAACAACAUUCAAAUAAGUUGCUAUUUCAGCAGCUCCAAUCACAUUAUAAUCAGCAGCAGCAGCUUCAUGUCUACACAUUGUUAUCCCGGCAACAGGCUAUGGAGUUAAGAGAGGUGAGAGGAGGGGAUGAGAUGAGGCUACAUUAUCUGUGUGAAAAGCUUGGCAUAAAGUUGGUUGGUAGAAGAGGUCUGGGUCCAGCGGCUGAUUCUGUUAUUGCUUCCAUCAAGGCUGAGAGGGGCAACCAUAGAACCAAUUCAGCUUCAUUAGACUGAAUGACAUACAUGAACAAGAGUUUCAUCACUUACGAACAGAAUCAUCAUCGGACAAGCUAAGCUGAUCUCUCUUAGGUUUUGCUGCUCGUGACAAUGUUAGGAGGGCAUCCAAACGUACCAGCAAUGGGGGAUUUAAGUAUCCAUGUAAGCUUGGCUUCUUUUGUGGCAGGCAACUUUUUCGAAUUCUUAUAGCUCGUACAAAUUGUAUGCGUGGAAAGCAGAUAUUAAUAUGGAAAUAAAUACAAUUGGAUAUGGAAUGCUCUGCAGAUCAAGGGAAAGGAGGGAGCUUCAGAAAUAAACUCAAUCCAAUAUAAAAUUCUAUGCAGAUCAGAGAAGAGAUAAAUACAAACGUAUUUCUUCUCUCUCUCUCUCUCUCUCUCUCUCUCUCUCUCUCUGAGUGUAGAAGACAGACGUAUUUCAGAGGGUGGGUCAACAAAAUUCCGAAAUCCAGAGAUCUGAUGCCACGGCACUAUACGGAAUGCAUAUCAGCUUGUUCUUUGAAAUCUAGACAUUUGAUGGACCUGGAUGGCUGGAUACCAUGUGUACUACACCCGAUUGCUGGUCAUGAUCAACAAACCAAUUAGAUUAUAGCCUGCAUUUCUGAAAUGUCUGCAACUGUAGCCUCACUUUUUUUUCAAUGGUUUUCUUCUGAUAUAUACGCCUCCCAGGUCAAGUUAUAAGCCCAAAGGAGUUGAGUUGUUGAACAUGUCUUUCAGAUCCAGAUUCCCCUCACUGGUUUCUUUUUUUGUGUCAUCUGUCCCAGUUGAUUAUCCAGGUUCGUGCAUAUGCUUUCUGCGCUACUGCAGACAUUAGCAAUUUCUCAUCCUCUUUCAUGUCUCAGAAGUCGGAACAAUUUCUGAUCAAUUAGCAUCAUAUGGAAAAGUUUCAUUU